CUGAGAGAAAACAGGACAUGUGCUGCAGCACUAGGCAAAAUUGACAUGUCUGCAUGGAGCAGUAGAGCAGAAGCAGAAGGGUACCUACAGCAGAUCAGAUCUAUAUCCAGUCCCAGUUGCAUUGUGUGAGGUGCAGUUCCAGACCAUUAGGGAUGAGGAGUCCACCAAUACAGACUUCAAAUCUCAACUCUUCCUGAUCCCUGUUCUACUGCAGCAGCCCAGCUUCAAGGUCCUGCAGCACACUGCUCUGUGCCAUGAUCUUUUACAGCUGACUUUGACAUACACCACAGGAUCUGGCAGCAGUCUACCUUUUUCCAAGAAAGGAGCUCUCUUCUUAUUUGUAAAUAAUGCAAACGUUUUCAUGAACAUCACAUCAUCUUCAUUACUGAUAUUCUGACUCCGGGGCUCCUAGGAGAUUUUAGGCUACACUUUGUACCAAAAAUAAUGAUGUUAAUCCUUUUAUUGGGAAUUAUCUAACGGCCUUUCUUGACCUGACAUUAUCAGGCAUGUCAAAUGAGUGGCGAUUCUGGAAAAAUACUAGUAGAAACAAUAUUGUGAAUACAAACACAUAACAUUGAACUUAAUCAGCAGUGAAUCUCUAGUUGGACAACUAUAAUCUUUUUUUAAAGAGAAAGAGUAGGAUGAAAAAUUACAGCACAUACUAAAAAAAUCCCCCAUCCCAUCCACAAGAUCAGAAGCCAGCAAAAAAGCACCACCAACAGCAAAACCUUUCUUCUUCCUAGCAACAGUCUAAACUCUAAUCCUAAAUUGUUCCUGAAUUUUCACAUGGUUUAUGACAAAAUAUUAGGAACUUGGAGUUUAUUUUUGAAGAACAGAAAUUUAAGGCGUAGUCUGUAUAGAAAUAACAGUUCUUCAUUAAAACAAAACCAAACUCUCAGAAUAGAUUGAAUGGAUGAAGUUUUUCAGUCUUGUGAAUAGGAAAAUUUUUCAUUUUCCUAUGUCAGAAUGAAAUACAUCAUUUCUGAUAAAAAGAAUUCAGCACCUCUGACUUGAAGACUUUCAAGACAUGUUUUUCCUUUGCUAUGUUUCUAUCUCUGUUGACCAGAGGAGCCAAAUUUAAACUUUCCAGAGAUGAAAGCUCUAUUUCUGGAUCAAGUCUAUUGUAUACAUUAUGUGCCACUUGGUCUUUAUGCCAGGAAAGAGUUCUGAAACUGUCUCUCAGACAAGCAGACUGAAAUGAGCACUGGCAUAAGCUCCCCAGGGAGGUGGUUGAGUCACCAUCCCUGGAUGUGUUUAAAAACCAUUUGGAUGUGGUGCUUAGGAACAUAAUUUAGCAGAGAGUUGUUAGAGUUAGGGUAGUAUGGUUAGGCUGUGGUUGGACUCGAUGAUCUUUAAGGUCUUUUCCAACCUGAGCGAUUCUAUGAUUCCAUGAGUCC
This 1397-nucleotide long non-coding RNA is filed under the name Chrysolophus pictus (golden pheasant). RNAcentral's name for it is "lncRNA (ENSCPIG00010006087.1)". Lineage: Eukaryota; Metazoa; Chordata; Aves; Galliformes; Phasianidae. The record is from RNAcentral.